Molecule: ribosomal RNA, 253 nt
Filed under: uncultured prokaryote
Description: partial 16S ribosomal RNA
Rfam family: Bacterial small subunit ribosomal RNA
Source: RNAcentral
UACGUAGGCAGCAAGCGUUGUUCGGAAUCACUGGGCUUAAAGGGUGCGUAGGCGGCCAUUUAAGUAGGGUGUGAAAGCCCCCGGCUCAACCGGGGAACUGCGCCCUAAACUGGAUGGCUCGAGUGAGAUAGAGGUGUGUGGAACUUCCGGUGGAGCGGUGAAAUGUGUUGAUAUCGGAAGGAACGCCGGUGGCGAAAGCGACACACUGGGUCUCAACUGACGCUGAGGCACGAAAGCCAGGGGAGCGAACGGG